Mus musculus (house mouse) is the source of this 507-nucleotide long non-coding RNA. RefSeq annotates it as predicted gene, 38640. The record is from RefSeq and is a predicted model, not a curated record. Lineage: Eukaryota; Metazoa; Chordata; Mammalia; Rodentia; Muridae. The transcript has 4 exons.
UCCUGAGGUAGUUCCGGUAAUAGAGCAGAGCGGUGACCGUUGACCUGGAAGAGAUUUCUUCCAGCCGGUUCCACAUUACUAUGUAUCCAGUUAGACAUGGAACGUUCUGGCUUCAUGCUCAUCACCUGUUGCUAUGGUGAGCCUGUUGGUGAAGAAGAUACAAGCUCCCAGCUACUCCUCUAGUGCCAUUCCUGCCUACCUGCUGCCGUGCUUCCUGCCAUCAUGAUUGUGGAUUCACCCUUUGAAACUCUAAGCAGGCCACCAGAAGACAUCUGGCACGAUGGAUAGGUGUGAGUGAAGCCAGAGUUAAGAAUUGGCUUAAGGGAAGACAAGAACCAUAUCGGAGGCAGCAGAAGCUAUAAAUGCUCCGACGUGCCUCUGAAGACUAUGCAGGAGAACUAGAGAACCAUCCGUGUGCCGGAGCUGGAUAGUGACAAGUUGUUGCUGCCACCUACGGUUUUAUGUCCGCAGCAUCUGUAUUUCUAAUAAAGAAGUGAAGUCUCUGUA